This 468-nucleotide ribosomal RNA is filed under the name uncultured bacterium. RNAcentral's name for it is "partial 16S ribosomal RNA". It matches the Rfam family "Bacterial small subunit ribosomal RNA", at positions 28 to 507 of the family's 1533-position model. The record is from RNAcentral.
GACGAACGCUGGCGGCGUGCUUAACACAUGCAAGUCGAACGGAAAGGCCCUGCUUUUGUGGGGUGCUCGAGUGGCGAACGGGUGAGUAACACGUGAGUAACCUGCCCUUGACUUUGGGUUAACUUCAGGAAACUGGGGCUAAUACCGGAUAGGAGUUCCUGCUGCAUGGUGGGGGUUGGAAAGUUUCGGUGGUUGGGGAUGGACUCGCGGCUUAUCAGCUUGUUGGUGGGGUAGUGGCUUACCAAGGCUUUGACGGGUAGACGGCCUGAGAGGGGGACCGGCCACAUUGGGACUGAGCUACGGCACAGACUACUAUGGGAGGCAGCAGUGGGGAAUAUUGCACAAUGGGCGGAAGCAUGAUGAAGCAACGCCGCGUGCGGGAUGACGGCCUUCGGGUUGUAAACCGCUUUCGCCUGUGACGAAGCGUGAGUGACGGUAAUGGGUAAAGAAGCACCGGCUAACUACGUG